AAUGAAGUGUCUGACAAAAGAAUUAUUUUGAUAGAAUAAAAAAUGUGAUUUUCUUCACCUUCAUUA
RNAcentral lists this transfer RNA (66 nucleotides) under Scarabaeoidea sp. KM-2017. Its description in RNAcentral is "tRNA-Ile". Lineage: Eukaryota; Metazoa; Arthropoda; Insecta; Coleoptera. The record is from RNAcentral.